UAUCUCCCCCAAGAGUUCACAUCGACGGGGAGGUUUGGCACCUCGAUGUCGGCUCAUCGCAUCCUGGGGCUGUAGUCGGUCCCAAGGGUUGGGCUGUUCGCCCAUUAAAGCGGUACGCGAGCUGGGUUCAGAACGUCGUGAGACAGUUCGGUCCCUAUCCGUCGUGGGCGUAGGAAAUUUGAGAGGAGCUGUCCUUAGUACGAGAGGACCGGGAUGGACAUACCUCUGGUGUACCAGUUGUCGUGCCAACGGCAUAGCUGGGUAGCUAUGUGUGGACGGGAUAAGUGCUGAAAGCAUCUAAGCAUGAAGCCCCCCUCAAGAUGAGAUUUCCCAACUUCGGUUAUAAGAUCCCUCAAAGAUAAUGAGGUUAAUAGGUUCGAGGUGGAAGCAUGGUGACAUGUGGAGCUGACGAAUACUAAUCGAUCGAAGACUUAAUCAAAUU
RNAcentral lists this ribosomal RNA (442 nucleotides) under Staphylococcus aureus. Its description in RNAcentral is "bacterial LSU rRNA". It matches the Rfam family "Bacterial large subunit ribosomal RNA", at positions 2484 to 2925 of the family's 2925-position model. Lineage: Bacteria; Bacillati; Bacillota; Bacilli; Caryophanales; Staphylococcaceae. The record is from RNAcentral.